GUUGAUCGGAAUGAAGAUUAGCUUGACAAAGAACCCUACAAAUCCCAUCACAACGAAUCCGAUAGCGGUACGGACGGCAACCUUGGUGAAUUCCUUGCGAUCGGGUUUAUGACAUCUCUUAACGAGACGAACGCUGUCCUUGGCGAACUCUCUGAGAGGAUCAACGACUGAAUCAAUGGCGUCCAUUCCCUGCGAAGUAGAAAUCAAAAUUUGAUAAUUGGGAAUG
This 226-nucleotide unclassified non-coding RNA is filed under the name Hevea brasiliensis (rubber tree). The record is from RNAcentral. Lineage: Eukaryota; Viridiplantae; Streptophyta; Magnoliopsida; Malpighiales; Euphorbiaceae.